RNAcentral lists this non-coding RNA (86 nucleotides) under unclassified sequences. The record is from RNAcentral.
ACUUCCCUGCCGCCGGGUAGGAAAUUAAGCGUCAGACUUUCCAUCGUUAGGCCUUUGAAGACGGAAAGCUUUGGCGCUAUUUUUAU